AGGUUGACCUCGGAUCAGGUAGGGAUACCCGCUGAACUUAAGCAUAUCAAUAAGCGGAGGAAAAGAAACCAACAGGGAUUGCCCUAGUAACGGCGAGUGAAGCGGCAACAGCUCAAAUUUGAAAUCUGGCGCAAGCCCGAGUUGUAAUUUGUAGAGGAUGCUUCUGGGCAGCGGCCGGUCUAAGUUCCUUGGAACAGGACGUCAUAGAGGGUGAGAAUCCCGUAUGCGACCGGUUGGCACCCGUCACGUAGCUCCUUCGACGAGUCGAGUUGUUUGGGAAUGCAGCUCUAAAUGGGAGGUAAAUGCCUUCUAAAGCUAAAUACCGGCCGGAGACCGAUAGCGCACAAGUAGAGUGAUCGAAAGAUGAAAAGCACUUUGGAAAGAGAGUUAAAAAGCACGUGAAAUUGUUGAAAGGGAAGCGCAUGCAACCAGACUUGUCGGCGGUGUUCCGCCGGUCUUCUGACCGGUCUACUCGCCGUCGGCAGGCCAGCAUCACUUGGGAGCGCCGGAUAAAGGCGCGGGGAAUGUGGCUCUUCGGAGUGUUAUAGCCCCGCGUGCAAUACGGCGCCUCCCGAGUGAGGUCCGCGCUUCGGCUAGGAUGCUGGCGUAAUGGUUGUCUGCGGCCCGUCUUGAAACACGGACCAAGGAGUCUAACAUCUAUGCGAGUGUUCGGGUGUCAAACCCCUACGCGUAAUGAAAGUGAACGGAGGUGGGAACUUCGGUGCACCAUCGACCGAUCCUGAUGUCCUCGGAUGGAUUUGAGUAAGAGCAUAGCUGUUGGGACCCGAAAGAUGGUGAACUAUGCCUGAAUAGGGUGAAGCCAGAGGAAACUCUGGUGGAGGCUCGCAGCGGUUCUGACGUGCAAAUCGAUCGUCAAAUUUGGGUAUAG
This 889-nucleotide ribosomal RNA is filed under the name uncultured Ascomycota. Its description in RNAcentral is "eukaryotic LSU rRNA". It matches the Rfam family "Eukaryotic large subunit ribosomal RNA", at positions 1 to 920 of the family's 3401-position model. Lineage: Eukaryota; Fungi; Ascomycota. The record is from RNAcentral.